This is a non-coding RNA of Dendrothele bispora CBS 962.96, 103 nucleotides long. The record is from the annotation of a GenBank genome assembly. NCBI's taxonomy places the organism in Eukaryota, Fungi, Basidiomycota, Agaricomycetes, Agaricales.
GGAACCAUAAAGGUUCACUGGUUACGGCGACAGAUUAGAAUUCUCCGGUAAAUUCAGGAUCUGUUCCUCUUUGAGGGCGCAGGUUCGAAUCCUGCUGGCGUCG